This is a long non-coding RNA of Bombus pascuorum, 521 nucleotides long. RefSeq lists it as uncharacterized. The transcript has 2 exons. Lineage: Eukaryota; Metazoa; Arthropoda; Insecta; Hymenoptera; Apidae. The record is from RefSeq and is a predicted model, not a curated record.
GAUACGUGAUUUCCAAGGAGGCUUUCGAAAAGCCAACGUGCUACAGCAGCGAUACUGGCAAUCAGCCACUAUCUUUUGCCAUUGAAUUUGGCCGGACCGAAAAUAAGUGGUCGGUAUCGAGAUAGGAACAGUGACACAGGUUCGAUCUUCUCUUUCGGGUCUUAAAGACCGGUUUAUUCUCCGGCGAGUACCGGAACAUUUCGCAGGAUCGUUAUUUCAACAACAGUAAUUCGCCGUGUAACAUGUAAAAGGUACAUAGUGAGACAUAAAACAGCGAAUAUAAGGAGAUAGUGUUUGUGUAUGUCACGAACAAUGUCUACACACAUCGUUCUACUAAUGAACAAUAUUUCUGCACAUACAUCUAAAAGAAACGCAAACAAAUAUUUUCUAAAACCGAUAAAAUGAUGCAUCCUCGUAAUAACCUCAAUGCACAUAUUGCAAAAUCAGCAAUCAUUUAACGAAAUCUACCAUAAAAGAGUACUAGUCGAACGAAGCAUCGAACACGAUAGAGUCAAGAAAUU